AAUUUUUGGGAUAAAGACUUAGCUGAGUUGAGUUGAUGAUAAGUCUUGAUUUCUGUUUUUGGAUGUGAGGUUUAUUACUGUGUAUUAACACUGGGGAUUUUCUCCCAGGGACUAGAGUCUGAUAUUGGUUUUAACUUUUAAGUUGUGGUCAUAAUGUCUCCAAAAGUAAGCCAUUGCAGAUGUUAAUUAAUGGUCACUAUUGUAGAAAAUUUUUUUCUCUUACAAAAUUUAUAAGCAAUAGCUCAUUGCAUCAAAGACAAGAAUUUAACAUAAGGUCAAUAUUAGUUCUUUUCAUAAAUUUUGAUUGUUUUUGUUGAGAAGGAUUCUCAAUAAGAAAAAAU
Molecule: unclassified non-coding RNA, 341 nt
Filed under: Hevea brasiliensis (rubber tree)
Lineage: Eukaryota; Viridiplantae; Streptophyta; Magnoliopsida; Malpighiales; Euphorbiaceae
Source: RNAcentral